AACGAACGCUGGCGGCAUGCCUAACACAUGCAAGUCGAACGAGACCUUCGGGUCUAGUGGCGCACGGGUGCGUAACGCGUGGGAACCUGCCUUUAGGUCCGGAAUAACUCAGAGAAAUUUGAGCUAAUACCGGAUGAUGUCUUCGGACCAAAGAUUUAUCGCCUUUAGAUGGGCCCGCAUUGGAUUAGCUAGUUGGUGGGGUAAAGGCCUACCAAGGCGACGAUCCAUAGCUGGUCUGAGAGGAUGAUCAGCCACACUGGGACUGAGACACGGCCCAGACUCCUACGGGAGGCAGCAGUGGGGAAUAUUGGACAAUGGGCGAAAGCCUGAUCCAGCAAUGCCGCGUGAGUGAUGAAGGCCUUAGGGUUGUAAAGCUCUUUUACCCGAGAUGAUAAUGACAGUAUCGGGAGAAUAAGCUCCGGCUAACUCCGUG
Molecule: ribosomal RNA, 433 nt
Filed under: uncultured bacterium
Lineage: Bacteria
Description: partial 16S ribosomal RNA
Rfam family: Bacterial small subunit ribosomal RNA
Source: RNAcentral